This 528-nucleotide ribosomal RNA is filed under the name uncultured bacterium. RNAcentral describes it as "bacterial SSU rRNA". It matches the Rfam family "Bacterial small subunit ribosomal RNA", at positions 1 to 523 of the family's 1533-position model. The record is from RNAcentral.
UAGAGUUUUGAUCAUGGCUCAGAUUGAACGCUGGCGGCAGGCCUAACACAUGCAAGUCGAACGGUAGCACAGAAGAGCUUGCUCUUUGGGUGACGAGUGGCGGACGGGUGAGUAAUGUCUGGGAAACUGCCUGAUGGAGGGGGAUAACUACUGGAAACGGUAGCUAAUACCGCAUGAUGUCGCAAGACCAAAGUGGGGGACCUUCGGGCCUCACGCCAUCGGAUGUGCCCAGAUGGGAUUAGCUAGUAGGUGGGGUAAUGGCUCACCUAGGCGACGAUCCCUAGCUGGUCUGAGAGGAUGACCAGCCACACUGGAACUGAGACACGGUCCAGACUCCUACGGGAGGCAGCAGUGGGGAAUAUUGCACAAUGGGCGCAAGCCUGAUGCAGCCAUGCCGCGUGUGUGAAGAAGGCCUUCGGGUUGUAAAGCACUUUCAGCGAGGAGGAAGGCGAUAGUGUUAAUAGCACURUCGAUUGACGUUACUCGCAGAAGAAGCACCGGCUAACUCCGUGCCAGCAGCCGCGGUAC